This 465-nucleotide ribosomal RNA is filed under the name uncultured bacterium. Its description in RNAcentral is "bacterial SSU rRNA". It matches the Rfam family "Bacterial small subunit ribosomal RNA", at positions 338 to 795 of the family's 1533-position model. The record is from RNAcentral.
CCUACGGGUGGCAGCAGUCGAGGAUUUUUCUCAAUGGGGGCAACCCUGAAGGAGCGACGCCGCGUGGAGGAUGAAGGGCUUCGGCUUGUAAACUCCUGUCACCGACGAACAAGGCAUCCGGUUGAACAUUCCGGAUGAUUGAUGGUAGUCGGAGAGGAAGGGGCGGCUAACUCUGUGCCAGCAGCCGCGGUGAUACAGAGGCCCCGAGCGUUGUUCGGAUUUACUGGGCGUAAAGGGUGUGUAGGGGGUCGGGUAAGUUUGACGUGAAAGCCCGCUGCUUAACAGCGGAACGGCGUCGAAUACUGCCCGGCUGGAGGUUCGGAGAUGAGAGCGGAAUUCUCGGUGUAGCGGUGAAAUGCGUAGAUAUCGAGAGGAACGCCGACGGCGAAAGCAGCUCUCAAGACGACACCUGACCCUGAGACACGAAGGCCAGGGGAGCAAACGGGAUUAGAUACCCUUGUAGUC